This 456-nucleotide ribosomal RNA is filed under the name uncultured Pseudochrobactrum sp. RNAcentral's name for it is "bacterial SSU rRNA". It matches the Rfam family "Bacterial small subunit ribosomal RNA", at positions 8 to 507 of the family's 1533-position model. Lineage: Bacteria; Pseudomonadati; Pseudomonadota; Alphaproteobacteria; Hyphomicrobiales; Brucellaceae. The record is from RNAcentral.
AGAGUUUUGAUCCUGGCUCAGAACGAACGCUGGCGGCAGGCUUUAAACACAUGCAAGUCGAGCGCCCUCUUCGGAGGGAGCGGCAGACGGGUGAGUAACGCGUGGGAAUCUACCUAUCUCUAGGGAAUAACUCAGGGAAACUUGUGCUAAUACCCUAUACGUCCGUAGGGAGAAAGAUUUAUCGGAGAUAGAUGAGCCCGCGUUGGAUUAGCUAGUUGGUGGGGUAAAGGCCUACCAAGGCGACGAUCCAUAGCUGGUCUGAGAGGAUGAUCAGCCACACUGGGACUGAGACACGGCCCAGACUCCUACGGGAGGCAGCAGUGGGGAAUAUUGGACAAUGGGCGCAAGCCUGAUCCAGCCAUGCCGCGUGAGUGAUGAAGGCCCUAGGGUUGUAAAGCUCUUUCACCGGUGAAGGUAAUGACGGUAACCGGAGAAGAAGCCCCGGCUAACUUCGUG